ACAUAGAGUUUGGACUUUAUACAUACAGUGCUAAAGUUAAAAUAUGUUUCAAAAAGAUGACGUCACCGGGCCUCAAGAGGGAAGAAUAGAUUUGCGAUCCUAGCGAAAUAACGAUACUCUUUCUUCAUUUCGGGAGAAAACGUUUUUCUCUUACUAAAUUCUUGCAAAUCACUAUGAUUUUGAUAUAUUCAGCAUAAUUAAUAUAUUUUAAGUUUUAUAGGUUUCGCUUUAAAUCUAUUUUUGCUUUGAAAAUUUUGAAAAAAAAAGGAAAUCUAUAAACCAAGUUUUUCAUUCCGUCAAUAAAGUCAAGUGGUUUUUUUUUCUCUUUUUGUAUAGAUGAUCGCGUGGUAUACUCAUCUUCAGUCAUUUGCGUCUUUUCUGUUUAGCCUCUUUGUUUGAGAAAGCAACGAAAUAAUAGAAAUGCUACUUUAUUUGGUUUCUGAAAGAUUCUAAUUAGAUUGAAACGGAGUGUACAUUGUAAUAUACAUUGGGCCUUACGAAGAUAAAAUAUUUUUGCAAUCUAGACCCCAUAGGUUAAGGUAGGUUUAGUUUAGUUUUAGUUUCAAUUUGUAAAAGAGUGUAUCACUGCAAAUACUAGACCCUACUCAUAGUGUUGUGUUCCUGCCGGUGAGUAAGGUUGCCAGAGUUCAACGAGGGGGUGUUAGGGUCGGCAACGCGCAUGUAUCUCCUCUGGAGUUGCAGGCGUACAUAGGCUACGGAGACUGCUUACCAUCAGGCGGGCCGUAUGCUUGUUUGCCACCGACGUAGUAUUAAAAAAAAAUU
Cydia pomonella (codling moth) is the source of this 783-nucleotide long non-coding RNA. RefSeq lists it as uncharacterized. Lineage: Eukaryota; Metazoa; Arthropoda; Insecta; Lepidoptera; Tortricidae. The transcript has 2 exons. The record is from RefSeq and is a predicted model, not a curated record.